This 385-nucleotide ribosomal RNA is filed under the name uncultured eukaryote. RNAcentral's name for it is "SSU rRNA". It matches the Rfam family "Eukaryotic small subunit ribosomal RNA", at positions 587 to 972 of the family's 1831-position model. The record is from RNAcentral.
AGCUCCAAUAGCGUAUACUAACGUUGUUGCAGUUAAAAGCUCGUAGUUGGAUUUCUGUAGUGGGAUGCCGGCCGGGUUCUCUGAACUUGUAGCUAGGUUAUCUUGCUGCAUCUUGUCGUAAUUCUCACUGGCAUUCAUUUGUUGGUGUAGAGGACCGACUCGUUUACUUUGAGAAAAUUAGAGUGUUUAAAGCAGGCUAUAGCUUUGAAUAUGUUAGCAUGGAAUAAUAAUAUAGGACUUUACGUUCUAUUUUGUUGGUUGUUCGAGGACGUAAGUAAUGAUUGAUAGGGACAGUUGGGGGCAUCAGUAUUCUGAAGCGAGAGGUGAAAUUCUUGGACCUUCGGAAGACUAACAACUGCGAAAGCAUUUGCCUAGGAUGUUCUCU